RNAcentral lists this ribosomal RNA (456 nucleotides) under uncultured Crenothrix sp. Its description in RNAcentral is "bacterial SSU rRNA". It matches the Rfam family "Bacterial small subunit ribosomal RNA", at positions 342 to 791 of the family's 1533-position model. Lineage: Bacteria; Pseudomonadati; Pseudomonadota; Gammaproteobacteria; Methylococcales; Crenotrichaceae. The record is from RNAcentral.
CGGGGGGCAGCAGUGGGGAAUAUUGGACAAUGGGCGAAAGCCUGAUCCAGCAAUACCGCGUGUGUGAAGAAGGCCUUAGGGUUGUAAAGCACUUUCAAUUGGGAGGAAAACCUCAUAGCUAAUAUCUGUGAGCUUGACAUUACCUUUAGAAGAAGCACCGGCUAACUCCGUGCCAGCAGCCGCGGUAAUACGGAGGGUGCGAGCGUUAAUCGGAAUUACUGGGCGUAAAGCGUGCGUAGGCGGCUUGUUAAGUCAGAUGUGAAAGCCCUGGGCUCAACCUGGGAACUGCAUUUGAAACUGGCGAGCUAGAGUUUGAGAGAGGUAAGUGGAAUUUCAGGUGUAGCGGUGAAAUGCGUAGAGAUCUGAAGGAACACCAGUGGCGAAGGCGACUUACUGGCUUAAAACUGACGCUGAGGUACGAAAGCGUGGGUAGCAAACAGGAUUAGAUACCCGAGU